GACGAACGCUGGCGGCGUGCUUAACACAUGCAAGUCGAACGGAAAGGCCCUGCUUUUGUGGGGUGCUCGAGUGGCGAACGGGUGAGUAACACGUGAGUAACCUGCCCUUGACUUUGGGAUAACUUCAGGAAACUGGGGCUAAUACCGGAUAGGAGCUCCUGCUGCAUGGUGGGGGUUGGAAAGUUUCGGCGGUUGGGGAUGGACUCGCGGCUUAUCAGCUUGUUGGUGGGGUAGUGGCUUACCAAGGCUUUGACGGGUAGCCGGCCUGAGAGGGUGACCGGCCACAUGGGGACUGGGAUACGGCCCAGACUCCUACGGGAGGCAGCAGUGGGGAAUAUUGCACAAUGGGCGGAAGCCUGAUGCAGCAACGCCGCGUGGGGGAUGACGGCCUUCGGGUUGUAAACCGCUUUCGCCUGUGACGAAGCGUGAGUGACGGUAAUGGGUAAAGAAGCACCGGCUAACUACGU
RNAcentral lists this ribosomal RNA (467 nucleotides) under uncultured bacterium. Its description in RNAcentral is "partial 16S ribosomal RNA". It matches the Rfam family "Bacterial small subunit ribosomal RNA", at positions 28 to 506 of the family's 1533-position model. The record is from RNAcentral.